UUUGAAGAUUUCUUCGGAGUGAAUUUGAUUUAGUUUAGUGGCGGACGGGUGAGUAACGCGUGAGUAACCUGCCUUCAAGAGGGGGAUAACAUUCUGAAAAGAAUGCUAAUACCGCAUGAUAUAUCGGAACCACAUGGUUCUGAUAUCAAAGAUUUUAUCGCUUGAAGAUGGACUCGCGUCCGAUUAGUUAGUUGGUGAGGUAACGGCUCACCAAGACUGCGAUCGGUAGCCGGACUGAGAGGUUGAACGGCCACAUUGGGACUGAGACACGGCCCAGACUCCUACGGGAGGCAGCAGUGGGGGAUAUUGCGCAAUGGGGGCAACCCUGACGCAGCAACGCCGCGUGAAGGAUGAAGGUUUUCGGAUUGUAAACUUCUUUUAUUAAGGACGAAAAUUGACGGUACUUAAUGAAUAAGCUCCGGCUAACUACGUGCCAGCAGCCGCGGUAAUACGUAGGGAGCAAGCGUUGUCCGGAUUUACUGGGUGUAAAGGGUGCGUAGGCGGCUUUGCAAGUCAGAUGUGAAAUCUAUGGGCUCAACCCAUAAACUGCAUUUGAAACUGUAGAGCUUGAGUGAAGUAGAGGCAGGCGGAAUUCCCCGUGUAGCGGUGAAAUGCGUAGAGAUGGGGAGGAACACCAGUGGCGAAGGCGGCCUGCUGGGCUUUAACUGA
RNAcentral lists this ribosomal RNA (669 nucleotides) under uncultured bacterium. RNAcentral describes it as "bacterial SSU rRNA". It matches the Rfam family "Bacterial small subunit ribosomal RNA", at positions 65 to 743 of the family's 1533-position model. The record is from RNAcentral.